RNA transcript from Bombus pyrosoma, 3482 nucleotides. It is a transcript of the gene named tetraspanin-13, with no coding region annotated. The transcript has 8 exons. The record is from RefSeq and is a predicted model, not a curated record. Lineage: Eukaryota; Metazoa; Arthropoda; Insecta; Hymenoptera; Apidae.
AAUUUAAAGCCUAUCAAAGCUUUUUCAAUUUAUAUUUAUUAAAAAAAAUUACUUUCAUUUUUUCAAUAUACAUUUUAGAAUUACAUAUCGCGUGAACCUUAAAAUUAUGAAAACGUAAUUCAUUCUAUCGUAUUCUGUACGUUUUCAUUUCGUAUAGAUAUACUAAUACAGAUUAACACAUAUUAUAGUGUAUUUAUAAAGAAAUAUGUGUGAUGAAUGUGUUUAUCAGGCGCGAAGAAUCUGUUUCUGAAAUUUCGCGCCCGACGCUGCGACGUCGAGAGGUCGAACUCGUUCCAAUGUAUUCGAGCCGUUGCAGUGCUAGCAGUCGUAAAUUGUCUGUCUUCAGCGAAAGGGUAGUGAGUGAUUCAACGACUCAACGAAUCCUCACGGGUGACUACACCAAAGGGAACAAAGGCCGUAUACGAAGAUGUGCGGUGGUUUUACGUGCUCUAAAAAUGCUUUGACGGCCUUAAACAUCCUUUAUAUCGUUGUUGCAUUUAUUUUAAUUGGUGUAGCUGUUUAUGGAAGAGCUUCUGCAUUAGUCACAAACCUUCCUAUAAUUGGAGGUAUUUUAGCAUGUGGUGUUAUUUUGAUUCUAAUUUCUAUACUUGGACUGAUUGGUGCUGUUAAACAUCAUCAAGUUCUAUUAUUCUUUUACAUGCUUAUUUUAUUUCUACUGUUCUUAAUCCAAUUUAGUAUCGCGUGUGCUUGCCUUGCUGUUAAUACCAAACAACAAGAACAAUUAGCAGAACAGGGUUGGAAGCAUGCAAAUGAAUUAAUAGAUAAGGUUCAAGAAACUUUCAAAUGUUGUGGUUUCAAUGGCACUGAAAUCACGUAUAUGAAUAAUUCAGAUCCAUUUAUUGAAUCUUGCAAAAUUAAAUAUUGUUGCCAAUAUCCUACAAAUACUGAUUGUGAAUGUCCAUCUUGUAUGCAAAAAUUACAAUCUACGAUUGAUUAUGCCUUUAAAUUAUGUGGCAGCAUAGGAUUGUUCUUCAGUUUUACAGAGUUUGUCGGUGUUUGGUUGACCGUGCGAUACAGGAAUCAGAAAGAUCCACGAGCUAAUCCUAGCGCUUUCCUCUAGUCUAACACCAUCGCCAUGUCCUCUGUCACCUCAUAUGAUCCUCCUAAUAGAUGGUGAUUGCAGCUUUCUUGGCAAAACGUUACAGAAAUCAACUAUAUCAACAUUCAAAAGCUGUUUUUCCUUAAUAUACUUUUAUUUCUUUUCUCAACAUACUUUAUAGCAUUUAAAUACAAAUAUUUCUCCAAAUUAAAACUAGAUUCUAAUAAGUAAUAGGUAAAUCAGUUGUAAUCAAAGUUUUGAUCGCUUUGACUUGCAUUUGGAAAUAUUAGGUUAUUUAAUAGCCAAGACAUAAUUCUUAUUUCAUAGUACAAAUACCAUCUUGCAUAUAACACUUGCAUAUGAUUCUUGAGAAACUGUUGGUAUUUCACUGCAGUUUAUAACGCUCAACAGGGAAGAAACGAAACAGCACAAAUGAAACAGUUAUAGAUUUUUAGAACGGAUAGAUAACUAAUAGUUAAAAUGUGUGCUCUAGUCAUCCAUUUAGAACAAUCGUACUAAGCCUCAAUGCGCCUUGUAGUUUAAUAUUUAGAUACGUUUGUGCAAGCGCGUUUCUAUAAAACUUUGUUUAUUUAUGCAGCAUAAUUUAUAAUAUGAUUCACUAAUUCUCAUUAUCAAAUGUUUAUUUUCUGUCAACAAAGCUUUUAAAAGAAAUGAUUUCAGGUAUGUUCUAGAAAACGUAUAUCCUUUUAUGUUAUAUCUGUAUAAUAUUUAUAUAUCUACAUAAAUUCUUCUAAUUUAGUAGAAACAUUUUCUACUUUGAUUUCCAAUAAUAUCUUUAUAAUAUCAAUAAAUAUUUUCCAAAAUUAUAUUUUUGCAUUCGCAAUGCAAUAUACAUUCGCAAAUUAUUUAAUUUGUGAAGUUUUCAAAAUAAAUAUUUCUUUCUUGAACUAAUCAGACAAAUUUAGAUCAAAUUAUUUUUUAUCAAAAUAUAAUAAAAGAAUACAUUCAUUGUGUAUUAUGAAGUAUUAAUAGUUAGUAUUUCGCUAAUGAAUCAAACAUUAAUCCUACAAUAAAGUAUCACGUGAUAAUUAAUAGAAUUCUUUAAUCUUGAGAUAUUAUCAUAAUACUGCCGUAUGUAUAAUGUAUAAUGGUUUCAAAAUCACUUUAUUACCAAUUUUUUAUUUAUAAUCUGCUUCCUCUAAUUUUUAUACUUACUUCUUUCAUUAUAAAGAUCUAUUAAACUGUAUUCCUAAAUCUCAUGUAUAAUGUGUUUAAAAAAUAUUGCAAUUAAAGAUUUUGAAUUAUUCUACCUAAAGAUAAAAUAUCAUUAUCUUAACAAAUUAUGCUUAGAAGCUUAAAAUGUUCAAUGUUUACGUGAAUUUAUUUAAUUUUAUAAACAAUUUAAAUUUUAAAUAAAAAAACAAUCAUAAUUAUCUAUCGUACUUGGAAUGUUAAUUAUAUAUUGCAUUAUACAAUAAAUAUCUUAUUAAAGUAAAUGCUUAGAUUGUGCAUAUUCACGUUUGAUUUGUUUUGUGCAAGUAGUAACAUUAUUUUGAUUUAAAUAAGAAAUAACAUGGUAACAACGCAUGAAUUUUUUUAAGUAGUAAACUGAAUUAUUUAAAAAAUUGAGGAACAAUUUAGUGAAAAGAAUUAUGCAGCGAAGAUUUAAUAAAAACAUUAUCCUAACAUUCCAAUUAUUAUAUUCUUUUAUUUUUAUAUAAAUUAAUAAUUGUAACAAUGAAUUAAUUAUAAAUUAUACUUAACAUUCGUCGUAUAAUUUUUCUAUGUGUGGAAUAUCAUAUGAGAGAGUAUAAAUAAACACAUAUAUCUGAAAAUAAAUAAUAUAUGCAAUGAUAUAAUUCAUGUAUGUAAUUAUUUCGAAAGUGAAAACGCAAUUCACAUGAUAUGAUGUUUUCAAAUUUCGUUAGAAAUCUCAAGACAAUUUAUAGCGAAAGCACAGAUUGAUAAGAGCAUGAAUUAAAGAUAUAGACACAUACAUAUUUUACUGUCUUAAGUUAAUAGGUAAUUAACUAAUGUAGUUACACAUUAUGUUUUUCUAUAUAUUAAUUAUAAUUAUUUAUGGUCAUUUAUUAUAUUAAUUAUAUUCAAAACCACAAAAACAUUAAUUAAAUACAUUUGUUUUGAAGAAAGGUAUAUUUACGUCAGUAUUAAUAUGAAUAUGAUAUAAAAAUACAUAAACGAUAUAGGAUAUUAAGAUAUGUGCCGGAUAUUAAGAUAUGUAUAUAUAUUAAAUUAACACUAAUAUUUAACAUUGAUUUUAAAUGUUUCGUUCGAUUUAAAUAUUUUUUAAUCGGUAGGAAUGUUUACAAACAUAACAAAUUAUAUGCUGCGAUUAAUUUCGACCAGUUUUAAUUAUCACAUUUCUGGUACUGCUUAGUUAUUGUUAUUAUUCCAUCUUGUAAUGUUUUUUCUUUAAAUAAAUAUAUAUAAAACCUGCAAA